GAUGAAGAACGUAGCGAAAUGCGAUACGUAAUGUGAAUUGCAGAAUUCAGUGAAUCAUCGAAUCUUUGAACGCACAUUGCGCCUGCCAGCACUCUGGCAGGCAUGCCUGUUCGAGCGUCAUUUCAACCAUCAAGCCCUAGGCUUGCGUUGGAGCCCUGCGGCUGCCGCAGGCCCCUAAAAGCAGUGGCGGGCUCGCUAUCACACCGAGUGCAGUAGAUUACUCUUCGCUCAGGGCGUGUGGCAGGUUCCAGCCGUGAAACCCCCUACUUCUCAAGGUUGACCUCGGAUCAGGUAGGAAUACCCGCUGAACUUAAGCAUAUCAAUAAGCGGAGA
This 333-nucleotide unclassified non-coding RNA is filed under the name soil metagenome. RNAcentral describes it as "partial contains 5.8S ribosomal RNA, internal transcribed spacer 2, and large subunit ribosomal RNA". The stretch from base 1 to 120 matches the Rfam family "5.8S ribosomal RNA", at positions 35 to 154 of the family's 154-position model. The record is from RNAcentral.